GUGCCAGCAGCCGCGGUAAGACGAACCGUGCGAACGUUGUUCGGAAUCACUGGGCUUAAAGGGCGCGUAGGCGGGCCACCAAGUCCGCGGUGAAAUCCUCCGGCUUAACCGGAGAAGUGCCGCGGAUACUGGGGGCCUCGAGGGGGGUAGGGGCAUGCGGAACACUGGGUGGAGCGGUGAAAUGCGUUGAUAUCCAGUGGAACUCCGGUGGCGAAGGCGGCGUGCUGGACCCCAUCUGACGCUGAGGCGCGAAAGCCAGGGGAGCGAACGGGAUUAGAUACCCCCGUAGUCC
RNAcentral lists this ribosomal RNA (292 nucleotides) under uncultured bacterium. RNAcentral describes it as "partial 16S ribosomal RNA". It matches the Rfam family "Bacterial small subunit ribosomal RNA", at positions 505 to 796 of the family's 1533-position model. The record is from RNAcentral.